Molecule: RNA transcript, 1159 nt
Organism: Myiozetetes cayanensis
Lineage: Eukaryota; Metazoa; Chordata; Aves; Passeriformes; Tyrannidae
Exons: 3
Source: RefSeq, a predicted model, not a curated record
CCCACGAUUCCACCGCGCUCUGACUUCGGCUGCAUUUGCCAGCAUGGUGGGGCUCAGCUUCUCCCACUCUGUUUCCCAGGCUCCACAGACUAAUCCUUCCUUUGGCUGGCUCUGCUGCUGCUAUGGCAAUAUUUUCUCCCCCAUCGUGGUAAUCACGCAAUGGUCUCUGAGAACAGCAGGAGAAGCAGUGCUUGGUAGAUGCAUAAAAGCAGCUGGGUUUGGUGUCAGCUUUUAAAGCUUUCCAGGAGGAGCGUGUGGGGAGCACAGAAACCUGGAGUGUGGGGAUGUGUCCCAGCACAUGAGGUGACACUGGGUGACACCAGACCGGCACGUGCUUCACUUGUGAGCUCUCGUGUGAAGUACACAGCAUGCUGAUCCUGAUUUAUGUUCAUUUUUACAGGUAUGCAAUGAUAAUUCCCACCUUCCAGAAACACAAAACAGUUUGGAAAACAUUUAUAGCAGGUUGCUGGUGAGCUGGGUGCUUGCAAGCCUGAGCUUGCCCAGUGUCCAUGGCUGAUGUGACUGCAAAGGUGCAGAUUUCCUGUGCAAAUCUUUAAGUAAACGUGGCACUGCUGGCAGGCAGGUUUGGCUGUCAACCUCCAGGGCAGCCAUGCAGGACCUGCUGCUGGGUGCCAGCUCUGUGAGAUAGCCCAUCUGGCCACAGUGGGAGCAUUGGGGGACCCAAUGUCCUCUCCCUGGUCUGACGUGCUUCACUGCGGGCUCUGCGUGGAAUGGGCACUGCUGCUGAGAACUUCCCAGGCACAAGAGACCCUGGUGAUACAAGAAAGGUCAUCCAGGAACCUCAACAGUGUUAUCCUCAAAUGGAAAUGUCAUUUUUUAUUAUUCAGAGCUGAUAGAGUGCUCAGAAUGAAGGCAGCUGAUGGCAGGGGGAGCUUCAGCUUGGACAACUCAGCCCCAGCUCCCAGUCCUCUCCUGCACACGAUGGGCUCAGAGCUCUCAGAGCCACCAUCCUGCCUGGCCGCCCUGCCCACGCCAGCCAUGGGCCCUGCUCUGGCCAUGGCACUGCAGCCUCGGAAAGGAAGUUACUGGUGUUCCCGACCGGCGCUGGAAUGCCACUUCCAUCUCCAUGAAUGCAAAUGAACGGGGUUUGAUCCAAAUUGCAUUUCCUCUCCUAGUCUGGAGUAUGACGGCACAUUAA